AGAGUUUGAUCCUGGCUCAGGACGAACGCUGGCGGCGUGCUUAACACAUGCAAGUCAAGGGGGCCCAGCAAUGGGCAACCGGCGAACGGGUGCGUAACACGUGAGCAACCUACCGAACUGUGGGGGAUAGCCGGCCUAACGGCCGAGUAAUACCGCAUACGCUUUCAGUGAGGCAUUUCAUUGAAAGGAAACCUACGGGACAGAUCGAGGGGCUCGCGGCCUAUCAGCUAGUUGGCGAGGUAACGGCUCACCAAGGCAACGACGGGUAGCUGGUCUGAGAGGAUGGCCAGCCACAUUGGGACUGAGAUACGGCCCAGACUCCUACGGGAGGCAGCAGUGGGGAAUCUUGCGCAAUGGCCUAACGGCUGACGCAGCGACGCCGCGUGUGGGAUGAAGCUCUUCGGAGUGUAAACCACUGUUGCCCGGGACGAACAGCUCGAUUAAUCGAGCCUGACGGUACCGGGUGAGGAAGCACCGGCUAACUCCGUGCCAGCAGCCGCGGUAAUACGGGGGGUGCGAGCGUUGUCCGGAAUCACUGGGCGUAAAGGGCGCGUAGGUGGUUUGAUAAGGGUGUGGUGAAAGUCCGGGGCUCAACCCCGGAUCUGCCGUGCCGACUGUCAAACUCGAGGACUGUAGAGGCAGACGGAAUUCCGGGUGUAGCGGUGGAAUGCGUAGAGAUCCGGAGGAAGACCGGUGGCGAAGGCGGUCUGCUGGGCAGUUUCUGACACUGAGGCGCGACAGCGUGGGGAGCAAACAGGAUUAGAUACCCUGGUAGUCC
Molecule: ribosomal RNA, 778 nt
Filed under: uncultured bacterium
Lineage: Bacteria
Description: bacterial SSU rRNA
Rfam family: Bacterial small subunit ribosomal RNA
Source: RNAcentral